RNAcentral lists this ribosomal RNA (201 nucleotides) under uncultured bacterium. Its description in RNAcentral is "partial 16S ribosomal RNA". It matches the Rfam family "Bacterial small subunit ribosomal RNA", at positions 524 to 724 of the family's 1533-position model. The record is from RNAcentral.
UACGAAGGGGGCUAGCGUUGUUCGGAUUUACUGGGCGUAAAGCGCACGUAGGCGGAUUGGUCAGUUAGAGGUGAAAUCCCGAAGCUCAACUUCGGAACUGCCUUUAAUACUGCCAGUCUAGAGUCCGGAAGAGGUAAGUGGAACUCCUAGUGUAGAGGUGGAAUUCGUAGAUAUUAGGAAGAACACCAGUGGCGAAGGCGG